Molecule: ribosomal RNA, 291 nt
Filed under: uncultured bacterium
Lineage: Bacteria
Description: partial 16S ribosomal RNA
Rfam family: Bacterial small subunit ribosomal RNA
Source: RNAcentral
UGCCAGCAGCCGCGGUAAUACGGAGGAUGCAAGCGUUAUCCGGAAUCAUUGGGUUUAAAGGGUCCGUAGGCGGCCAAAUAAGUCAGUGGUGAAAGCCCAUCGCUCAACGAUGGAACGGCCAUUGAUACUGUUUGGCUUGAAUUAUUAGGAAGUAACUAGAAUAUGUAGUGUAGCGGUGAAAUGCUUAGAGAUUACAUGGAAUACCAAUUGCGAAGGCAGGUUACUACUAAUAUAUUGGCGCUGAUGGACGAAAGCGUGGGGAGCGAACAGGAUUAGAUACCCUGGUAGUCC